RNAcentral lists this ribosomal RNA (373 nucleotides) under uncultured organism. Its description in RNAcentral is "bacterial SSU rRNA". It matches the Rfam family "Bacterial small subunit ribosomal RNA", at positions 526 to 896 of the family's 1533-position model. The record is from RNAcentral.
CGUAGGGUGCAAGCGUUGUCCGGAAUUAUUGGGCGUAAAGAGCUCGUAGGCGGUCUGUCGCGUCGGAUGUGAAAAUCCAGGGCUCAACCCUGGACCUGCAUUCGAUACGGGCAGACUAGAGUUCGGUAGGGGAGACUGGAAUUCCUGGUGUAGCGGUGAAAUGCGCAGAUAUCAGGAGGAACACCGGUGGCGAAGGCGGGUCUCUGGGCCGAAACUGACGCUGAGGAGCGAAAGCGUGGGGAGCGAACAGGAUUAGAUACCCUGGUAGUCCACGCCGUAAACGUUGGGCGCUAGGUGUGGGGAACCUUCCACGUUCUCCGUGCCGCAGCUAACGCAUUAAGCGCCCCGCCUGGGGAGUACGGCCGCAAGGCUA